ACAGAUCAUAUACACAUAUACCCUUAAUCCUGAAUAAUUCACCAAAAAUUUUACACAGAAUUUUGAAAUCCACAAAAUUCCAUCUCAAAACUUCAAACGCAUACACUAAUCUUCUGUCUAGGUCUAUUAUUUGACCUUAAAUCAAUAAUUUAAGAUUUUAGUAAAUUGUCUAAUUUUCUCGGGUUGUCACAACAUCCCCAAGAAAAUAAAGAGAACAAUGCUCCAGCUGAGGGGGAGAUCCCUGAAAUUCUCAUGAUUGAGUAUACACCGGCUGAGGGGGAGAAGUCUACAGCUCAAGAAGAGGUUCCAGCUUAGGGGGAGUUUCUGAAUCUACAAGCGGGUGACUAUGCUUUUCCUGUAUCCGAACGCAUUCGCCUUAUCUGCAAUGUUUAUCAUGAUAUAGCAAGGGUGAGCAUGAAAGUUGCCCAGCAAGUUUUAAAACAAUUUAAAGAUAUAUCACGAUUGAAAGAGUCUGAAUAAUAAGCUGGCUAUCCUUCACAAUGUAUUUGUGAAUUAGCAAUAACAAAAUUUUGACUGAACAAGUAUUGAACAAGAACAAUAAUAUAUCUAGACCAACUGGUAAUGAAGGUGAUCAGCCUUUCAUACCUGACUUAUACAUGUAAGAUGUACAGAGUACAAUUCAACAUGGCAAUCAGAGAUGAUUAACCAUAAGUAUAUCCGAAUGAACAACUCUUAGUAGAGUUAAGUAAAAGGAAACUUGCCUGAACCGUUGAUUACCGUAACACAAUAUAAUAAGCUUCGUUUGAAGACCUAAUAUUAAUAAUAUAGAUAUACAAUAUUAGAAUAAUAUAAUCACAAUAUAACAGUAACCUAAACACGUAGCGCAUAACACCAUCAGUCUAUUCAGCACAUAAAACUUAAUAUAAAGUCAAGCUAUUUCAGUCUGACUUGAAACCGACACAAUUCUAUCAUCCCGACGGUCUAGUCGGAUAAUUGACGAGUUUAAGUUCAAUUAAACUUUGCUUAAACAUUUAACCAUGCCUCAGAUAAUUUUCUUAUCAGUCAAAAUAUUUUCUAAGACUUGUAAUAAUUUUCAGAUAAUUAUUACCAUUUAUCAUGAUUUUCCAAUCAUUUAUAACGUAUUUAAAUAAAUUAAAUACCACAUAAUUUCUUUAUUAUUAAUAUUUAUUUACUAUAAAAUAUUAAUGAAAUACAUGUCAUAAUAUUAUAAUAUAUUUAUAAUAUAUCUAAGUAUUUUUAAUACCUUAAAAUCAUUUAAAUAGGAUUUUUAAACCGUUAAAUCCAUUAUCCUAUAAUCGCUUUUAAUAUUAAAAUAUUAAUAUUUUAAUGACAAAAUAUCAAAAGUUAUAUUUUAUAACUUAAAAUAUUUUCUAAUAUCACUUAAAUCAUUUUUAUAUGAUUUUUAAAUCAUUUAUUCUAUUUUUCCAUAAUUUAUUUAAUAUAUUUAUUAAAUAAACUAAUUACCAUUAAUAUUCUAAAAAUACUAAAUAUUUUCGUAAUAUACUCAAAAUAAUUAAAAACUAUUUUUCAGGCAUUAAAAUAUUUUUUCAUAAUUUAUUAUGUAUUUUUAAUAAUUAAAAACCAUUAUAAUCUAUUUAUUUAAUUAAUUAAUGUAAUUUCUGAAAAUAAGUGUCGCUAAAGGGCCCUUUAGCGACGAAACUGUCGCUAUAGGUGUUCUUGAGCUUGACAGCUUCGUUAUCAAGGCUGCUACUUUGACCACUUGUAGAUCUUAGACCAUUUGGUUUCUGGGAUUGAUCUUGGUCAGAUCGUGUAUUACUCGUACGAGACUACACAAUACAACAAUUAGUUUGAUCAAAUAGCAUAACAACAAAGAGAUCUAAGCAAGCAAAUUCACUGUCAGAACACGUUUUGGGUUUUCUGGGCCCAGACAAUUUCGAGUUAACACAUUCAAGCUCACUUUAAUCUAUGUUCUGAUCUUUGUUCAGGUGGUCUAAAGGUUCAAACUAGUAGUAGACAUGACAACGAACAUUUAUAUACUAACAUCAUAGUUUAAAAACACUUCAAUCGCCUGGAUCCGUCCAGUCAAAGUGUGUCAGAAACAUUGCUCUUAAGUUUUCUGGAAAUUCCAGAAAACCAAAUCCGUGAUCAUCUUUGCAGGUUUGACCAUCCAUAGAGUUCAAUAUGUUGAUUAUUUCAAGGAUAUAAAAGCAUGAACAUAGAGUUAACAUAACAUACUACAACUUAGACAUAAUAUCCUUACCAAAUAAUCAACACACUGACAGAUCUAGACGCUGGAAUAUACUGUCAGACGCCUGUUUAUGCAUUCUAGGUUGCCCAGAAAAAGGGAAAAGUCAUGGUCGGGCAAGAAUAUAUUCUGAUUUGCUGGGAUUUUCAGACCACAAAAUCAAUAAUGGUUGGCUUUGAAAGAUAUGGUAGGAUUUUUCUACCAAUAAUUCACCAAAUGGGACAAAAAAGGUAAAUUAAACUUUUCACUUCUAUCCAAUAAUGCACAAAAGGGUAAAUUGGACAUUUGACUUUUAAAAUCAAUAGCAUACUUGUCAUUUAACCCAACCCUUAGGGUUUGACCAUUAGGGUUAGACCAUUAGGGUUAAAAGCUAAGGUUCUAAAAAAAUUAAUUUUCAAAUAUUUUCAAAUUUAGAUUUUCUAAAUAGAAAAUUAAUAUCUCUAAAUUAUAAUUAGGAUUUUCUAAUUAUAUUCUAAUUUCCCAAUUUAUAAAUCAUUAUUGACAAUUAGGAUUAAUAAUUCCUAAUUAAAAUUACUAAUUGAGCAAUUAAUUCCAUAACUGUACAUUAGGGUUCCUGACAGAAUAAUUAGGGUUUUAAACCGUAAAAUUAGGGUUUUCUAAAUUAUUAGAAAAUCUAAUUAAUCAUUAGGGUUUUCCCUGAUUAGGUUGCAAUUAAAAUAUAUAAACUUUAUAUAUUGCAAUUAAAUUCCCAAAUUAGGAUUUUAAUAUCCGAAUUAGGGUUUUAAAUUCCCGAAACAGAAAUUAGGGUUUCCAGAAUCGGUUUCUAGGGGUUCUUAUCAAACGUUAGGGUUUUCUAACUGAACGUUGACGUUCUAAUAAUAUUAGGGUUUGACUUUGAUAAAAUAUAUCUGGUCAACCCUUGACCCUUAACCACAUUCUGUACACAUAAUACCAUAAUCACAGAUCAUAUACACAUAUACCCUUAAUCCUGAAUAAUUUACCAAAAAUUUUACACAGAAUUUUGAAAUCCACAAAAUUCCAUCUCAAAACUUCAAAUGCAAACACUAAUUUUCUGUCUAGGUCUAUUAUUUGACCUUAAAUCAAUCAUUUAAGAUUUUAAUAAAUUGUCUAAUUUUCUCGGGUUGUCACAACAUCCCCAAGAAAAUAAAGAGAACAAUGCUCCAGCUGAGGGGGAGAUCCUUGAAAUUCUCAUGAUUGAG
RNAcentral lists this long non-coding RNA (3369 nucleotides) under Panax ginseng (ginseng). RNAcentral describes it as "long non-coding RNA (PGIN_LNC011957)". Lineage: Eukaryota; Viridiplantae; Streptophyta; Magnoliopsida; Apiales; Araliaceae. The record is from RNAcentral.